CACCGGCGGCCCGAGUGGUGAUCGUGAUUAUUGGGUCUAAAGGGUCCGUAGCCGGUUUGGUCAGUCCUCCGGGAAAUCUGAUAGCUCAACUAUUAGGCUAUCGGGGGAUACUACCAGACUUGGAACCGGGAGAGGUAAGAGGUACUACAGGGGUAGGAGUGAAAUCUUGUAAUCCCUGUGGGACCACCUGUGGCGAAGGCGUCUUACCAGAACGGGUUCGACGGUGAGGGACGAAAGCUGGGGGCACGAACCGGAUUAGAUACCCGGGUAGUCCCAGCCGUAAACGAUGCUCGCUAGGUGUCAGGCAUGGCGCGACCGUGUCUGGUGCCGCAGGGAAGCCGUGAAGCGAGCCACCUGGGAAGUACGGCCGCAAGGCUGAAACUUAAAGGAAUUGGCGGGGGAGCACAACAACGGGUGGAGCCUGCGGUUUAAUUGGACUCAACGCCGGACAACUCACCGGGGGCGACAGCAAUAUGUAGGCCAAGCUGAAGACUUUGCCUGAAUCGCU
This 508-nucleotide ribosomal RNA is filed under the name uncultured archaeon. RNAcentral's name for it is "bacterial SSU rRNA". It matches the Rfam family "Archaeal small subunit ribosomal RNA", at positions 474 to 981 of the family's 1478-position model. The record is from RNAcentral.